AUUGAACGCUGGCGGCAGGCCUAACACAUGCAAGUCGAGCGGAUGAAGGGAGCUUGCUCCUGGAUUCAGCGGCGGACGGGUGAGUAAUGCCUAGGAAUCUGCCUGGUAGUGGGGGAUAACGUCCGGAAACGGGCGCUAAUACCGCAUACGUCCUGAGGGAGAAAGUGGGGGAUCUUCGGACCUCACGCUAUCAGAUGAGCCUAGGUCGGAUUAGCUAGUUGGUGGGGUAAAGGCCUACCAAGGCGACGAUCCGUAACUGGUCUGAGAGGAUGAUCAGUCACACUGGAACUGAGACACGGUCCAGGCUCCUACGGGAGGCAGCAGUGGGGAAUAUUGGACAAUGGGCGAAAGCCUGAUCCAGCCAUGCCGCGUGUGUGAAGAAGGUCUUCGGAUUGUAAAGCACUUUAAGUUGGGAGGAAGGGCAGUGAGUUAAUACCUUGCUGUUUUGACGUUACCAACAGAAUAAGCACCGGCUAACUUCGUG
This 484-nucleotide ribosomal RNA is filed under the name uncultured bacterium. RNAcentral's name for it is "partial 16S ribosomal RNA". It matches the Rfam family "Bacterial small subunit ribosomal RNA", at positions 30 to 507 of the family's 1533-position model. The record is from RNAcentral.